UAACUUACUUGGCGUGGAGGAUAACCGUGAUCAUGAAGGCGGUUCCUCCUGGGUGAGGCUCAACCAUUGCACCUUGGUUGGGUUGAACCUUGCGAAUACUCCUUUUGUGGGUAUGUCGAGCGCACAAUUUUUGGGAGUCGGGACUUGCGUUCGCGCAGUCCCGGA
RNAcentral lists this small nuclear RNA (165 nucleotides) under Polistes fuscatus (common paper wasp). RNAcentral's name for it is "U1 spliceosomal RNA". It matches the Rfam family "U1 spliceosomal RNA". From Rfam's summary of the family: U1 is a small nuclear RNA (snRNA) component of the spliceosome (involved in pre-mRNA splicing). Its 5' end forms complementary base pairs with the 5' splice junction, thus defining the 5' donor site of an intron. The record is from RNAcentral. Lineage: Eukaryota; Metazoa; Arthropoda; Insecta; Hymenoptera; Vespidae.